GUGGGGAAUAUUGGACAAUGGGCGAAAGCCUGAUCCAGCGACGCCGCGUGGGUGAAGAAGGCCUUCGGGUUGUAAAGCCCUUUAAGCCGGGACGAAAAAAUCGGCGAUAACAUCGCCGGUCUUGACGGUACCGGAAGAAUAAGCACCGGCUAACUCUGUGCCAGCAGCCGCGGUAAUACAGAGGGUGCAAGCGUUAAUCGGAUUUACUGGGCGUAAAGCGUGUGUAGGUGGCUAGCUAAGUCGAUUGUGAAAUCCCCGGGCUCAACCUGGGAAUUGCAGUCGAUACUGGCAAGCUCGAGUUCGGUAGAGGGUGACGGAAUUCCCGGUGUAGCGGUGAAAUGCGUAGAUAUCGGGAGGAACAUCGAUGGCGAAGGCAAUCACCUGGGCCUGAACUGACACUGUGACACGAAAGCGUGGGUAGCAAACAGGAUUAGAUACCCGUGUAGUCC
This 449-nucleotide ribosomal RNA is filed under the name uncultured bacterium. Its description in RNAcentral is "bacterial SSU rRNA". It matches the Rfam family "Bacterial small subunit ribosomal RNA", at positions 354 to 796 of the family's 1533-position model. The record is from RNAcentral.